RNAcentral lists this ribosomal RNA (320 nucleotides) under uncultured Chloroflexota bacterium. RNAcentral's name for it is "bacterial SSU rRNA". It matches the Rfam family "Bacterial small subunit ribosomal RNA", at positions 28 to 350 of the family's 1533-position model. The record is from RNAcentral. Lineage: Bacteria; Bacillati; Chloroflexota.
GAUGAACGCUGGCGGCGUGCCUAAUACAUGCAAGUCGAACGAACUGUUUGUCUUCGGAUGAGCAGUUAGUGGCGUCCGGGUGAGUAACACGUAGGUGACCUAUCCCGAGGUGGGGAAUAACCACCCGAAAGGGUAGCUAAUUCCGCAUAAGUUCCAGGAUUCAGUUUCUGGAGGAAAGCCGAAAGGCGCCUUGGGCGGGCCUGCGGCCGAUUAGCUAGUUGGUGGGGUAAUGGCCUACCAAGGCGGAGAUCGGUAGCUGGUCUGAGAGGAUGAUCAGCCACACUGGCACUGAAACACGGGCCAGACACCUACGGGUGGCU